GGAAAUCGUAUAAAUUUAUUAAUUUAUAAUGUUUAUUUAUUUGAAGAAUAAUGAUGUACUCUGAAAUUAUUAUUAUUAUUAUUAUUUUCUCCGUGAAAGCGAUUGUGGUAUAUAUUUGUAGCCAUCUUAAUACCAUAUCAUGAUGAUAUGUCAUAUUGAGAAUCCUAAUUUCCAACUAAUAUGAAUAUGUAUGUAUCGACUAAUUAAAAUCGUUAAUAAGCAUUGGCAACCGAAACUCGCUGUAAUUUAUUAUAAAAAUAAAUAAAACACAUUCUUUCAAGAGAGAAAUCUGCAGUAACAAAAACUUAACAAUGGCUGAACACAAUUCUCGUAGGGCCAACCGUUCUCUCCCAAAAACAAAACAAAGCAAAGCUUCACGUGUCCUUCCCUCUUUCCCUUAUAUUUCUUUCUCAUUCUCAUUAACCCUAGGGCCUCUCAUCCCCAUAAAAAUCUCCUGCAAACAAAAACUGAAAAUUAUUAUAUUUGUAAGCAAAGCAGGAAACACAAAGUCUCUUUCUUUGUCCCUAACAUCAAACGGAAAUUAUUGACAACAAAAAUCACCAAAUUUUGGUCGGAAAAUCAAGAAAUGGAGCUUCAACAGUUAAUGCACCUCAUUUUGCUCUGGUAUACUAUGCAAACUACCCGUUUGGUCCUUGUGAGUGGAAAUCACACUGCCGCUAGUUUACGUUCUCGCUGAGUCAUUUCCUUUUCCUCUUCCUCUUCCAUCCUUAUUUUCUUCCUUUCCCUCUGUAAAGAAAUAAAAAGAUUUCUUUAGUAUUUCCUUUUCUUUUUACACAUAUAGGCAUUUCUUAGAAACAAUAAAAUUAUUCUAUUUGUAUAAACAUGUCUAUUCAACUUCAACAGGAGUUCCAAUCUUCUAAAUGUCUCAUUAAAAUGAAGGCCUUGCCUUCAACUUGCUCGAAUGGUGAUACGUACUUGAUCAUCAAGCUUCCUCAUUCCAGACUUUUGAAACUUUUCGCUCGAUUAAUUGUUUUGGCUUUCAUUUUUG
This 1009-nucleotide long non-coding RNA is filed under the name Jatropha curcas. RNAcentral describes it as "long non-coding RNA (JCUR_LNC000887)". Lineage: Eukaryota; Viridiplantae; Streptophyta; Magnoliopsida; Malpighiales; Euphorbiaceae. The record is from RNAcentral.